CACUUGACAUUUGAUUUUUGAUUUUUUUUUGGCUUUGU
RNAcentral lists this small RNA (38 nucleotides) under Arabidopsis thaliana (thale cress). Its description in RNAcentral is "ATSL126390". Lineage: Eukaryota; Viridiplantae; Streptophyta; Magnoliopsida; Brassicales; Brassicaceae. The record is from RNAcentral.